RNAcentral lists this ribosomal RNA (253 nucleotides) under uncultured bacterium. RNAcentral describes it as "partial 16S ribosomal RNA". It matches the Rfam family "Bacterial small subunit ribosomal RNA", at positions 524 to 776 of the family's 1533-position model. The record is from RNAcentral.
UACGAAGGGGGCUAGCGUUGCUCGGAAUUACUGGGCGUAAAGCGCACGUAGGCGGCUUUCUAAGUCGGGGGUGAAAUCCUGGAGCUCAACUCCAGAACUGCCUUCGAUACUGGAAAGCUCGAGUCCGGGAGAGGUGAGUGGAACUGCGAGUGUAGAGGUGAAAUUCGUAGAUAUUCGCAAGAACACCAGUGGCGAAGGCGGCUCACUGGCCCGGUACUGACGCUGAGGCGCGAAGGCGUGGGGAGCGAACGGG